GCCUCAGGCAGCCUGGCAGGUCCUGUGGACGAGCUGUCCUGGACAGGUUUCAGCUCAGAGUGACGCCAACAGCUCUGACUAAGGGGUCAACCCUUGAUUCAAGUGAGUGGACCCACCAACAGAACAGACAGAGGGGCAUGCAGGAUUCCUGUCUUACCCUACAAAUCCAGGGCCCUCCCUCUGGAGCAGCUUUGGCUCCAUGGCAAUUAUCCAUCAGCAGUGGGGAUGGCCUCGACGUGCAUGUGGAGUCCAAUCUUCUGUGUCUAGCUGGAUCUGAAAGGUGUCUAGCUACAUGCUAAAGUAUGACCAGACGGAGGGAUGCAGCUAGAAGGAAAACAUCUGAAUCCAUUUCAUGACAGAAGCAAUGUCAUUGGGAAGAGUCACUGCCGCAGCCUGGGGAGAGCUCGCCUCACCCUCCCGGCCCAGCCACGCCCGAUGACUCAGGCUCCCAUCCAUUAUGCACCGCAUGAAACCCGACCGACCUUCCGAGCGCUCCUGCCAGCAGCCCGCAUCUGUUGAAUCAGAAAGCAAUCACCUGAUGCUCAAUCUCAUUUCACUCAUUAGUCCUUGCCUGCAGCUUGUGUACCCAGAAUUUAAAGUUCAUGCAUCCUGCCUCUUCUGAGUGCUGUGAGUCAUCUGCAAGUGCUUUGGGAUCGCCAGGGUGUGACCGAGGUGGUGGGGUGCUAUGCCCCGGGAGAAGGUCUAGAGCAGAGAGAGAUAUUUUGAUGUGCAUUAAAUCCUGCAGGAAUCACUCAGUUUAAA
Melospiza melodia melodia is the source of this 762-nucleotide long non-coding RNA. RefSeq lists it as uncharacterized. Lineage: Eukaryota; Metazoa; Chordata; Aves; Passeriformes; Passerellidae. The transcript has 3 exons. The record is from RefSeq and is a predicted model, not a curated record.